GUUCUUAGCAUGUAUAAUUUGAAAUAUUAUAAUUAUAAAAAAUGAUAAUAGAAUAAUCCCACAUUUUACAAAUGUAGAAGUGAGUAGGCAACAAUUUCCUAUAUAAAAAGAAAGGAACACGCAUUCUCAUAGUUCAAAUUUUUGGAAGGACAUCCAUGGUUCCUUUAAACAUGGCUAUUGUUUUCCCAUCGAUAUGAACAAUUUCUGGAAGGGCUUCCUAAAAUCAAG
This 228-nucleotide long non-coding RNA is filed under the name Zostera marina. RNAcentral describes it as "long non-coding RNA (ZMAR_LNC004509)". Lineage: Eukaryota; Viridiplantae; Streptophyta; Magnoliopsida; Alismatales; Zosteraceae. The record is from RNAcentral.